GCUAGAAAACAGCACAGUCAGCCAGCCUGAUCUUAGACACACACUAGAAAAUGUGACUUUGGCAAUAUAUUACAACAUAAAGCACAGAUCUGCAAAUAGAUCUCUAGCUAUUUUUGAAGAGCCAAUACAUCCACUUUCAGAAGAGAAGGCUCCAGGGAAAUCCUUUGAGCAUGAUCCCAAAUGCAACUGUAUUUUCAGAUAUUUCUGUACUCUUUUUCUAGUCAUAAUAC
Molecule: long non-coding RNA, 230 nt
Organism: Nomascus leucogenys (northern white-cheeked gibbon)
Lineage: Eukaryota; Metazoa; Chordata; Mammalia; Primates; Hylobatidae
Exons: 4
Source: RefSeq, a predicted model, not a curated record